Molecule: ribosomal RNA, 587 nt
Filed under: uncultured bacterium
Lineage: Bacteria
Description: partial 16S ribosomal RNA
Rfam family: Bacterial small subunit ribosomal RNA
Source: RNAcentral
UGGGGAAUUUUGGACAAUGGGCGAAAGCCUGAUCCAGCCAUGCCGCGUGCGGGAUGAAGGCCUUCGGGUUGUAAACUGCUUUUGUACGGAACGAAAAGACUCUGGUUAAUACCUGGGGUCCAUGACGGUACCGUAAGAAUAAGCACCGGCUAACUACGUGCCAGCAGCCGCGGUAAUACGUAGGGUGCAAGCGUUAAUCGGAAUUACUGGGCGUAAAGCGUGCGCAGGCGGUUAUAUAAGACAGAUGUGAAAUCCCCGGGCUCAACCUGGGAACUGCAUUUGUGACUGUAUAGCUAGAGUACGGCAGAGGGGGGAUGGAAUUCCGCGUGUAGCAGUGAAAUGCGUAGAUAUGCGGAGGAACACCGAUGGCGAAGGCAAUCCCCUGGGCCUGUACUGACGCUCAUGCACGAAAGCGUGGGGAGCAAACAGGAUUAGAUACCCUGGUAGUCCACGCCCUAAACGAUGUCAACUGGUUGUUGGGUCUUCACUGACUCAGUAACGAAGCUAACGCGUGAAGUUGACCGCCUGGGGUAGUACGGCCGCAAGGUUGAAACUUAAAUGAAUUGACGGGGUCAUAGCUGUUUCCU